AUAUCAAUAAGCGGAGGAAAAGAAACCAACAGGGAUUGCCCUAGUAACGGCGAGUGAAGCGGCAACAGCUCAAAUUUGAAAGCUAGCCUUCGGGUUCGCAUUGUAAUUUGUAGAGGAUGCUUUUAGGCAGCCGCCGGUCUAAGUUCCUUGGAACAGGACGUCAUAGAGGGUGAGAAUCCCGUAUGUGACCGGCUCUGGCACCUUAUGUAAAGCUCCUUCGACGAGUCGAGUUGUUUGGGAAUGCAGCUCUAAAUGGGAGGUAAAUUUCUUCUAAAGCUAAAUACUGGCGAGAGACCGAUAGCGCACAAGUAGAGUGAUCGAAAGAUGAAAAGCACUUUGGAAAGAGAGUUAAAAAGCACGUGAAAUUGUUGAAAGGGAAGCGCUUGCAAUCAGACUUGGACUUGGCUGUUCAACCGGUCUUCUGACCGGCCUACUCAGUCUUGUCCAGGCCAGCAUCAGUUUCGGCGGCCGGAUAAAGGCCCUGGGAAUGUAGCUGUCUCUUCGGGGACAGUGUUAUAGCCCAGGGUGUAAUACGGCCAGCUGGGACUGAGGUCCGCGCUUCGGCUAGGAUGCUGGCGUAAUGGUUGUAAGCGGCCCGUCUUGAAACACGGACCAAGGAGUCUAACAUCUAUGCGAGUGUUAGGGUGUCAAACCCUUACGCGUAAUGAAAGUGAACGGAGGUGGGAACCCGCAAGGGUGCACCAUCGACCGAUCCUGAUGUCUUCGGAUGGAUUUGAGUAAGAGCAUGGCUGUUGGGACCCGAAAGAUGGUGAACUAUGCUUGAAUAGGGUGAAGCCAGAGGAAACUCUGGUGGAGGCUCGCAGCGGUUCUGACGUGCAAAUCGAUCGUCAAAUUUGGGUAUAGGGGCGAAAGACUAAUCGAACUAUCUAGUAGCUGGUUCCUGCCGAA
This 909-nucleotide ribosomal RNA is filed under the name Sphingomonas sp. Its description in RNAcentral is "partial 23S ribosomal RNA". It matches the Rfam family "Eukaryotic large subunit ribosomal RNA", at positions 40 to 965 of the family's 3401-position model. Lineage: Bacteria; Pseudomonadati; Pseudomonadota; Alphaproteobacteria; Sphingomonadales; Sphingomonadaceae. The record is from RNAcentral.